GAACUCGACUGUUAUUUGUUUAGUUUAGUUUCUAGCAUAACUGGAAUAAAUAAAUAAAUAAAAAAAUCAUAUCAUAGAAUUUGCUGUGGAAAUGCAUUUUUCAGUUUUAUACGCUUACUCUCGUGUGCACGCAAUUUUUAUACAAAUACUUGAACAAUUAUUCAACAAAUGUAAACAUAUGGUGAAACGGGACAUCGCCAAGCGCCUCCAGGAAACAAUACUAGCACGGGUUGUCUUCUUCACGGAGGUAGGCUCCUGUCCCGACGGAAGAAGCCACAGAAGAAAUCUGCUAGGCUUCAUGAUCAAUUUGCAGCUGACGGGGGUAAACUGGGUGCAAAAAAUCGAAAAAAACGUGUCUUCACUUUAAAAGUGCAGCUUUCUGAUCGCUGCUUCGCCGCCUCCUAAAAGUGCAGCUUUCUGAUUGCUGCCUGGCCGCCUCCUAAAAGUGCAGCUUUCUGCUCCCUGCCUCGUCGCCUCCUAAAAAUGCAGCUUUCUCAUAAACACGAAAAUUGCUCGUAUGUCAAAAUUCAUUUUAGAUAGAACAAUUCAUCCACUUGGGCUACGAGGAGCAAUGUCGUUUGCUUUGGCUAUAAGAAACACUUUAUCAGAAGCCCGCUUAACCUUGCUAACCGCCACUUCUUUAGUUGUUAUAUUCACAGUCAUCAUCCAAGGUGGUGCCGUGAAUUUUUUACUUGAAAACGGGGACCUAAUACAAAGAUGUUUUAACAGUCCUCGUGGAGGCGAAUUUGUUGAAAUUGAAUGGUGACGUCACACACGCCUUACGGCCGACUGUCACUUUUAUACCCACCAUAACGUUGGACGGUUCCCAAAUGUCGCCAAGCCGCUAUAUUAAAAAAUAUAUUCGGCGAAAUUUGCAAAAUUGCUGGAGCACAUGAAGAUAUCGAAGCAAGUUGUCGCGAGUAUCUUUAAAAUUUCCAAGUCAAUCAGUUCAUGACGUAUGUUACGCAACUAUUGAGUUCUUAGUUGCGAUGGCUUGCCCACUCUUCUACUCUUCCACUUGUGUAUAAAUUUCAGUGAUGCACUACGGAAUAUCAUGGUUUAUUUAACAUUGAAGAGUUCCAGAUUGUAUGUGUUCACCAAAGGCUUCUAUUCUAUUUUGAGGUAUUCUUGAAUAUGUGCUAUAUACAUACAAAAUUUGAUAUUGUGACUAUAUUCCAAUUGAUUGAUGAUAGUACGAGAAAAAAGUGUUUUGUUUUUUAUUUUCGUCAACGUGCGCAGUGUGAGUACUUGUAGAAAAUUUUCUUUACUCUUUGAAUUCUUAUUGCUCCCGGCACAAAUAUGUAAUAAAUUAUCUUUUUUAAAUAUUUGACCAUUUUGUUUGUGUAAAUUGUGUGAAAGCAAAAGAAGUACCAUCUAUAAACCAAUUCUAGCUUUCUUACCGAUAAAUCUGUUAACUAACCCAGCAUUACAUUGAUACGGCGUUGAAUUUCUUUCGUUUGGCAUUAAUACGUCUUUUAACUCGUGGCCGUAAAAGUACACAUAUCAUCUACAAUAAUUAAUUAUUUAGUUAUAUUGGGCAUUGGGACUCAUAUGCAAAUGGCACUGCAGCCAAUGCUUGUACGCACUCUUGAUGGCAUGGAUGUUACCUGUUACCAUAUUGGAACUGGACAAUAUCACAAUGCUGUUGUUACCAACGGUCUAUUGCUCACUUGGGGGUGAGUUAUUUUUUAUAAAAAAUAUGUUUGACCUUGCGGAUGUUUUAUACCUUUACCAGACUACAACCAAUCGCCACGGUAACUAUUUUCCUAUAUUCGCUUGUUUUUCUAAACGCAUUACAUUCUGUAUAUUUAAUAGUAACAUGUGUCAGUGUCGAAUGGCUAAGCAGACAGAUGGGUACACCGUGCUUGAAUUGGCUUAAGCAAUUGUGGCGGUUAUUUCUUAUACCGGCUACGAUAUGGAGGAUGCCAAGAUUAUAAAUAAAUAUGCCUAUGAACGUGGUUUCGCUCACGGUAGCAUCUAUAUAUCAAAAUGUUUUGAAUUGAGUGGAACUUGCUAUUUUGCUCGUAAUCCGCAAACGCCAGAGCUUCGCGAACAUUUAGAUAAUGGCGGCUUACCUUAUCCGGGCAGCAGACUUGAAUAUGGUAGUUAAAUUGUUCUUAACAUGAACUCAAAAGUUUAUAGUAUAUUUUAGUUUUGACAAAUGUGUAACACGUAUGUGUCAUAAUCCUGAAAAUGGUCCUUUGUUAUUGGCUUGGAUAUUGGUGAACAUACGGUAUACCAACGCUUCGGAAAAUGGUCAGCAAGUUGCCGUCAAAUGGGCAAACGAGCAUUGGAUUUAAAUUGCUUUUCGUUUAGGCAUGAUAUGAUUUCAAACUCUAUAUAUAGAAAUAUAUAUGUAUAGAAACGUAGAAUCAGUUUUGGCUGCUUUUCUAAUAUUCUUUUGCAUUAGAUCGAUUCAUUGGUCUCCCGUAUAGCACGCAAGACGGUUUACAAUAUGUUGUGUUGUAUAUGCGAUUAUUUUGAUGGCGUUGGUUCUUGUUGUAAAUAUCCUUAUGUAUAUGACUUAUUAAGUGAACUAUUGGCAUGGCCCAGUUUGGCUAAAGAUUUUUGUAGUACAAAGGGUAAUUAAAAAAAUAAUUUCAAAGCUUUCAGCCAAAUAUAUAUAUUAAAAUAUUAUUUCGUUGAAAAUUACUUUCCACGCAAUCUUUAGAAGAAGAAACUCUGAUGCCACAAAGGUUGUGUAUCAAGUGUGUAAAUUUAUUAAAAAAUAUUUACGUUUUCCUCUUAGAGGCGCGAAAGUUACACGAGAUAUAUUUGAAAAAUGUUGUGAACAAUGAAGACUGUUUGCAAGAACCACCAAUUGAGUUGCCACAAGAGCCAGAAAUUAUUGUAGAUAUUAAGUCAGAGCAGCAGUUAUCGAAAACUCCUUCACACUUCGGUCUAGAUGGUCUAGAAGAAGAAGCAAAGCAAGAGCAAUUAAUGGAAAAUGCAAAAGAGGAAAUUGAUGAAAAGGAUGAGUAUUACCUAAACGAUGUUGGUCCAC
Glossina fuscipes is the source of this 3004-nucleotide RNA transcript. It is a transcript of the gene named sodium/hydrogen exchanger 7-like, with no coding region annotated. The record is from RefSeq and is a predicted model, not a curated record. Lineage: Eukaryota; Metazoa; Arthropoda; Insecta; Diptera; Glossinidae. The transcript is spliced from 3 exons.